Molecule: ribosomal RNA, 230 nt
Filed under: uncultured bacterium
Lineage: Bacteria
Description: partial 16S ribosomal RNA
Rfam family: Bacterial small subunit ribosomal RNA
Source: RNAcentral
UGAGCAACCUGCCCUUGACUCCGGAAUAACAGCUGGAAACAGCUGCUAAUACCGGAUAUGACCUCCGAUGGCAUCAUCUGGAGGUGGAAAGCUCCGGCGGUCAAGGAUGGGCUCGCGGCCUAUCAGCUUGUUGGUGAGGUAACGGCUCACCAAGGCUUCGACGGGUAGCCGGCCUGAGAGGGCGACCGGCCACACUGGGACUGAGACACGGCCCAGACUCCUAGGAGACG